This 253-nucleotide ribosomal RNA is filed under the name uncultured bacterium. Its description in RNAcentral is "partial 16S ribosomal RNA". It matches the Rfam family "Bacterial small subunit ribosomal RNA", at positions 524 to 776 of the family's 1533-position model. The record is from RNAcentral.
UACGGGGGGGGCAAGCGUUGUUCGGAAUUACUGGGCGUAAAGGGUUCGUAGGUGGCUUGUUAAGUCAGACGUGAAAUCCCUCGGCUCAACCGGGGAACUGCGUCUGAGACUGAUGAGCUUGAGUGCAGGAGAGGAACGCGGAGUUCCAGGUGUAGCGGUGAAAUGCGUAGAUAUCUGGAGGAACACCGGUGGCGAAGGCGGCGUUCUGGACUGCAACUGACACUGAGGAACGAAAGCCAGGGGAGCAAACGGG